RNAcentral lists this unclassified non-coding RNA (1066 nucleotides) under Hevea brasiliensis (rubber tree). Lineage: Eukaryota; Viridiplantae; Streptophyta; Magnoliopsida; Malpighiales; Euphorbiaceae. The record is from RNAcentral.
GGUCCUGCUCUAUUUCUUCUAAGGUAUUGUAUCUAUCUGUAAUUUUUUUCUGAAUUGGAGGAUCAUAGUUUAGAUGGAAUAAUUGGGAAAAUGAUCUUAACAUAAAAUGAAAGUUUCAUUCUGAAACCAAAAGUGAAAAAUGACUAGAUGGCAAAAACAGAUGCAUCAGAAGCUUUGACAGAAAAUCGGGAUACAAAUGUUGUCAAGUUCAACUCUAUAUCAGCUGGCAGCCAAGGCUAUUUGGCUUGAAUGGAAAACUUGAUAAACCAAGAGGGUCCAUAUAAAGGAUUUUCUCUGCAAGAAAACAAGUUCAAAAUGACCUAUAAUUGUUGAUAAUAGAGAUAUAAUUGUUGAUAAUAUGCAUAUAAGAUUUUAGAGUAACCUAGCAUCAAUUAUAGGACUAGCUCACUAAGAGAUCUCAGGCAUCAUAUAUUGUGAUGCAUAGUCCCCAAUUAGUGCAUGGCAUUUCACAGCGUAUGCAAAGGAUUAGGGGCAGAAAAUUCUUAUUUCUUUCCAAAAUAAGAUGCUACGGCCUGAUAUAUGGUUUCUUCAGUAGCUUUCUUUCUAGAGAAAUAUUUGAUAAGUAAGUUAAGGAGGUUCCCUUGAGGAUGCUACCUGACAAGUUGCAUCCAAUAUGCUGACCCUCUUAACUCUUAGGAGCCAACUAUCCUGUUCAUUAAGCUCCCAAACAAGCAGCUUGGUAUUCAAAAUUGCAAAAUAUUUUCCUUCGUUCUAAAAAAUUACAAAUUUUUUCCUAUGUCCGUGAAAAUCAAUGAGGAGUGUCCUGAAGCAAAUAUGUUUUUGUCAUAGUAAAAAAGGACAUUUUCUUCUUACGUGCCUUAUUGAAUUUCGUUUAUGGGAGAUUUUAGUGAAUGUAAUCUGAUUCAGCUUGCUGACUUGCUUGUGCACUCAUUUAUAGUUUGUCUGGUGGCCAUGUGGUGGGUAAUUUCUCUCCUCAUGAAGCAUUUGCCAUAGGCGGAACAAACAGUGUGAGAGGAUACGAAGAAGGUGCCGUAGGUUCUGGUCGAUCUUAUGUAGUUGGCUCUGGUGAAAUUUCUUUCCCUGU